Molecule: ribosomal RNA, 286 nt
Filed under: uncultured bacterium
Lineage: Bacteria
Description: partial 16S ribosomal RNA
Rfam family: Bacterial small subunit ribosomal RNA
Source: RNAcentral
UAAUACGUAGGGGGCAAGCGUUGUCCGGAUUUAUUGGGCGUAAAGAGCGUGUAGGCGGCCCGGCAGGUCCGCUGUGAAAACUCGAGGCUCAACCUCGAGACGUCGAUGGAAACCGCCGGGCUAGAGUCCGGAAGAGGAGAGUGGAAUUCCUGGUGUAGCGGUGAAAUGCGCAGAUAUCAGGAGGAACACCCGUGGCGAAAGCGGCUCUCUGGGACGGUACUGACGCUGAGACGCGAAAGCGUGGGGAGCGAACAGGAUUAGAUACCCUGGUAGUCCACGCCGUAAA